This 253-nucleotide ribosomal RNA is filed under the name uncultured bacterium. Its description in RNAcentral is "partial 16S ribosomal RNA". It matches the Rfam family "Bacterial small subunit ribosomal RNA", at positions 524 to 776 of the family's 1533-position model. The record is from RNAcentral.
UACGUAGGUGGCAAGCGUUGUCCGGAUUUACUGGGCGUAAAGAGCGCGCAGGCGGUCGUUCAAGUCGCGUGUGAAAGCCCCCGGCUCAACUGGGGAGGGUCACGCGAUACUGAUCGACUCGAAGGCAGGAGAGGGUAGUGGAAUUCCCGGUGUAGUGGUGAAAUGCGUUGAUAUCAUCAGGAACACCGGAGGCGAAGGCGACUCACUGGACACGUAUUGACGCUGAGGUGCGAAAGCGUGGGGAGCAAACAGG